RNAcentral lists this ribosomal RNA (325 nucleotides) under uncultured eukaryote. RNAcentral's name for it is "partial Eukaryotic large subunit ribosomal RNA". It matches the Rfam family "Eukaryotic large subunit ribosomal RNA", at positions 11 to 329 of the family's 3401-position model. The record is from RNAcentral.
UCAGGUGGGACUACCCGCUGAACUUAAGCAUAUCAAUAAGCGGAGGAAAAGAAACUAACAAGGAUUCCCCUAGUAACGGCGAGUGAAGCGGGAUGAGCUCAAAUUUAAAAUCUGGCAGUCUAAGAUUGUCCGAGUUGUAGUCUAGAGAAGCGUUUUCCGCGUAGGCCUGUGUACAAGUCCCUUGGAAUAGGGCGUCAUAGAGGGUGAGAAUCCCGUCCUUGACACAGAUCAUCUAUGCUCUGCGAUGCGCUCUCGAAGAGUCGAGUUGUUUGGGAAUGCAGCUCAAAAUGGGUGGUAAAUUCCAUCUAAAGCUAAAUAUUGGCGA